RNAcentral lists this ribosomal RNA (544 nucleotides) under Escherichia coli. Its description in RNAcentral is "bacterial SSU rRNA". It matches the Rfam family "Bacterial small subunit ribosomal RNA", at positions 1 to 532 of the family's 1533-position model. Lineage: Bacteria; Pseudomonadati; Pseudomonadota; Gammaproteobacteria; Enterobacterales; Enterobacteriaceae. The record is from RNAcentral.
UUAAAUUGAAGAGUUUGAUCAUGGCUCAGAUUGAACGCUGGCGGCAGGCCUAACACAUGCAAGUCGAACGGUAACAGGAAGAAGCUUGCUUCUUUGCUGACGAGUGGCGGACGGGUGAGUAAUGUCUGGGAAACUGCCUGAUGGAGGGGGAUAACUACUGGAAACGGUAGCUAAUACCGCAUAACGUCGCAAGACCAAAGAGGGGGACCUUCGGGCCUCUUGCCAUCGGAUGUGCCCAGAUGGGAUUAGCUAGUAGGUGGGGUAACGGCUCACCUAGGCGACGAUCCCUAGCUGGUCUGAGAGGAUGACCAGCCACACUGGAACUGAGACACGGUCCAGACUCCUACGGGAGGCAGCAGUGGGGAAUAUUGCACAAUGGGCGCAAGCCUGAUGCAGCCAUGCCGCGUGUAUGAAGAAGGCCUUCGGGUUGUAAAGUACUUUCAGCGGGGAGGAAGGGAGUAAAGUUAAUACCUUUACUCAUUGACGUUACCCGCAGAAGAAGCACCGGCUAACUCCGUGCCAGCAGCCGCGGUAAUACGGAGGG